Molecule: microRNA precursor, 122 nt
Filed under: Medicago truncatula (barrel medic)
Lineage: Eukaryota; Viridiplantae; Streptophyta; Magnoliopsida; Fabales; Fabaceae
Source: RNAcentral
AGUCAUGUCUUCUAAGCCAAGGAUGACUUGCCUGGCUAAAAACCAUUACAUGGGACCUGAUGAGUAUGUCCCUUGUUUAGUUUUCCGGCAGGCGGGUUAUCCUAGGCUUUUUGACUGUCUCU